ACGUGAUCUGAGUUCAGACCGGAGUAAUCCAGGUCAGUUUCUAUCUAUAAAAGAGUUUUUUCUAGUACGAAAGGACCGAAAAAACAUGGCCCAUACUUAAUGCAAGCCAUAAUUACUAACUUAUGACCAAAUCUUAAUAAGUACUUAAUCCCCCACUUAACUCAAAAAAAGAGUA
RNAcentral lists this ribosomal RNA (175 nucleotides) under Hyla helenae. RNAcentral's name for it is "partial 16S ribosomal RNA". Lineage: Eukaryota; Metazoa; Chordata; Amphibia; Anura; Hylidae. The record is from RNAcentral.